Molecule: unclassified non-coding RNA, 374 nt
Filed under: soil metagenome
Description: partial contains 5.8S ribosomal RNA, internal transcribed spacer 2, and large subunit ribosomal RNA
Rfam family: 5.8S ribosomal RNA (bases 1-120)
Source: RNAcentral
GAUGAAGAACGCAGCGAAAUGCGAUAAGUAAUGUGAAUUGCAGAAUUCAGUGAAUCAUCGAAUCUUUGAACGCACAUUGCGCCCGCCAGUAUUCUGGCGGGCAUGACUGUUCGAGCGUCAUUUCAACCCUCAAGACCCCUUCGGGGGACUUGGUGUUGGGGACCGGCACAGGGGCCUGCCUGCUUGUCUUGCAGCGCCCUCGCCGCCCCCGAAAUGAAUUGGCGGCCUCGUCGCGGCCUCCCCUGCGUAGUAGCACAACCUCGCAACGGGAACGUGACGGCGGCCACUGCCGUAAAACAACCCAAUUUUAUUAGAGUUGACCUCGAAUCAGGUAGGAAUACCCGCUGAACUUAAGCAUAUCAAUAAGCGGAGGA